Molecule: ribosomal RNA, 301 nt
Filed under: uncultured bacterium
Lineage: Bacteria
Description: partial 16S ribosomal RNA
Rfam family: Bacterial small subunit ribosomal RNA
Source: RNAcentral
CAGUCGCCGCGGUAAUGCGUAGGUCCCGAGCGUUGUCCGGAUUUAUUGGGUGUAAAGGGAGCGCAGGCGGUUUAGUAAGUCUGAAGUUAAAGGCAUUGGCUCAACCAAUGUAUGCUUUGGAAACUGUUAGACUUGAGUGCAGAAGGGGAGAGUGGAAUUCCAUGUGUAGCGGUGAAAUGCGUAGAUAUAUGGAGGAACAUCGGUGGCGAAAGCGGCUCACUGGACCAUAACUGACGCUGAGGCACGAAAGCUAGGGGAGCAAACAGGAUUAGAUACCCGGGUAGUCCCUGUCUCUUAUACA